GACGAACGCUGGCGGCGUGCUUAACACAUGCAAGUCGAACGGUAAGGCCCUUCGGGGUGCACGAGUGGCGAACGGGUGAGUAACGCGUAAGUAACCUGCCCUUCACUCUGGGAUAACAGUUGGAAACGGCUGCUAAUACCGGAUAUUCAGCUCCUGUCGCAUGGUGGGGGUUGGAAAGUUUUGGUGGUGGAGGAUGGGCUCGCGUCCUAUCAGCUUGUUGGUGGGGUGAUGGCCUACCAAGGCGUCGACGGGUAGCCGGCCUGAGAGGGCGACCGGCCACAUUGGGACUGAGAUACGGCCCAAACUCCUACGGGAGGCAGCAGUGGGGAAUAUUGCACAAUGGGCGGAAGCCUGAUGCAGCAACGCCGCGUGCGGGAUGACGGCCUUCGGGUUGUAAACCGCUUUCAGCAGGGACGAAGCGCAAGUGACGGUACCUGCAGAAGAAGCACCGGCUAACUACGUG
Molecule: ribosomal RNA, 463 nt
Filed under: uncultured bacterium
Lineage: Bacteria
Description: partial 16S ribosomal RNA
Rfam family: Bacterial small subunit ribosomal RNA
Source: RNAcentral